UGUGUAGGCGGCUUUUUAAGUUUGGUGUGAAAUCUCCCGGCUCAACCGGGAGGGUGCGCCGAAUACUGAGAGGCUAGAGUGCGGGAGAGGAAAGUGGAAUUCCUGGUGUAGCGGUGAAAUGCGUAGAUAUCAGGAGGAACACCCGUGGUGUAGACGGCUUUCUGGACCGUAACUGACGCUGAAACACGAAAGCGUGGGUAGCAAACAGGAUUAGAUACCCUGGUAGUCCACGCCCUAAACGAUGCAUAUUUGGUGUGGGUCAUUCAGUUGAUCCGUGCCGGAGCUAACGCGUUAAAUAUGCCGCCUGGGGAGUACAGUCGCAAGGCUGAA
RNAcentral lists this ribosomal RNA (330 nucleotides) under uncultured bacterium. RNAcentral describes it as "bacterial SSU rRNA". It matches the Rfam family "Bacterial small subunit ribosomal RNA", at positions 568 to 898 of the family's 1533-position model. The record is from RNAcentral.